Molecule: ribosomal RNA, 253 nt
Filed under: uncultured bacterium
Lineage: Bacteria
Description: partial 16S ribosomal RNA
Rfam family: Bacterial small subunit ribosomal RNA
Source: RNAcentral
UACGUAGGGACCGAGCGUUGUCCGGAAUCAUUGGGCGUAAAGAGCGUGUAGGCGGCCUGUUAAGUCUUGCGUGAAAUCUCGGGGCUCAACCCCGAGCGGUCGUGAGAAACUGGCAGGCUAGAGUGCGGGAGAGGAGAGUGGAAUUCCUGGUGUAGCGGUGAAAUGCGCAGAUAUCAGGAAGAACACCGAUGGCGAAGGCAGGUCUCUGGGCAUUAACUGACGCUGAGGAGCGAAAGCAUGGGGAGCGAACAGG